RNAcentral lists this long non-coding RNA (3105 nucleotides) under Pongo abelii (Sumatran orangutan). RNAcentral's name for it is "lincRNA". The stretch from base 20 to 93 matches the Rfam family "mir-1247 microRNA precursor family". Lineage: Eukaryota; Metazoa; Chordata; Mammalia; Primates; Hominidae. The record is from RNAcentral.
GCCCAGCGCAGCCCCGGCCGCUGGGCGCACCCGUCCCGUUCGUCCCCGGACGUUGCUCUCUACCCCGGGAACGUCGAGACUGGAGCGCCCGAACUGAGCCACCUUCGCGGACCCCGAGAGCGGCGGCGCGACUCACCGCGGAGGCGCCCGGACGCGUCAAGUGCGUACUUUCAACCGUAAAUGGGUGCUGAGCGUUUAGGGGUGCGGGGCAACUCCCUAACUCGUGGGGCCCUGGCCGGCCCUGCCGCGGCGUCCGAGACCUUCUGAUCCCUCGCUGCGCGCGGCGCGGGGUUGGCGACUUGGGCUCAGGGGCGGCGGGGCGGGGAGGUGCCUUGACCUAGGGACCCAGAGGCCGGGAGCAAGUCUCCUUUCGCCUUGGACCGCAGUGUCCCCCAGGGCAAGGCCUGAACCAGGUCGCGAGGGUCUGUCUCCCGUCUGGGGAGCUGAACUGCCCGGGACACUGUCGCAGUCGCGGGGACUUGUCUGGAGCGGCGGGGUCUGAGCCCAAGUCCGAAGCCGCCGCCGCCAGCGUCCCGUGCGCCUGCCGCCCCGGGACCAGCCGCGAAACUUCUUCUCGGGACGGAGACAGCGCUCGCCGCCCGGGCCGAGGUAGGAGCUGGCUGGGCUCGAUAGAGCGCGGGCGAAUCGCUUUCGGCAGCGAAGGAACGUGUCGGGAGAAGCCAACCGCAGGACCAGGGCCCCAGCGGGCGCGCAGAGACGCCUGCCUUGGGCGGAGGUCCCCCCCUCCGGUUUUCGUGGCUCUUGUAGGGCCCUCUGUCCCGUGAGCUCCCCACUGGACCUGUGGCUCCAGGCUUCAGCAGGUCAAGCGCCCAAGUGUGCCUGGAGGAUUGGCGGCCGGGUGGCAUGAGAAGGUGGCCCCUCUUCUCCAUCUCCCAGUCAGGCGAUUUCUCUGCUGUCUGGGGCAGGGGCGCACACCCCGGGAACUUACUACCUAGAGGGAAGCCAGCCUGGUCUCUCCCCCUUGCGUCAGUGCUCCUAAGCUGCCCCUCGCCACUCUGGGUAGGGGUCUUUCAGGUGGGCUAGCGAAUUCUCCUUGGAAGCCCCCUUGUCUGCUUUCCUCCAUCAGGGCACCUCUGAGUUAGCCAAUCGUCCCCUUUUCUGGCCUCUUUUUUGCGGGGAGGAGAGUAAAGAGAGAAGCCUCCUACUCGGCAGGUCUCUGAGAGGAGGUGUGGGGGGACUUCUGAGGUUGCUCCUCCUGGGCAGAGUCAAGGGGUGUUGACGGUUCCAACUUUUACUGGACAAUCUCUCAAGCUCUGAUUCCCUGAUUUUUGGGAGGUGUCAGUGUAGGGCUUGUGUCCUGCCGCCACCCACACAGCAUUUGGUGAAGGCACAUGGGAUGGUUCCCCAAGCCCUUUUCCCAGUUUCAGAAAAUGCAUAAGCCACCUAAGGCUGGGAGAAGCCUUUCUGUGCUGCCUGAGAUCUGGUGGCAUGUGCACGCGUGUGUGUGCAAGUGUGUUGUGUGUGUGCAAGUGUGUGCACGCAUGUGCAUGUGUGUGGAAAGUAUGGUCUGGGUGGCUGUAAGACUGGCCCCUCUUGUCCCCUCUGCAGACCCAGCCCAAUAGGAAGCACCUGAUCCACACUCUUUCUAGCCCCAGAGAUGCUCAGGAAAGCAGCUCUUCUUUAGGGCUGUCAUCUGUUCUGGGGAUCUGUUGCUGUUCCUUGGGCCCACAGAAUACACUCCAUACCUCGGGACUCCAUAAUAUUGGACAAGGCUGGAAGGCCCAUUUGGAUCCUGCAGCCUCUUGUGCAGGUGAGGACAGACCCAAGGUCCAGGCAAUGCUGGCCUUUGGAACACAGAACCUGGCUCAGUGACUGCCACUCCAGUUGUCUUUUCCCUCUGCCUCCGGAGCAACUCUCUCUCCUCCGGAGCAACCCCUGUCUCUCCUUCCUACUUCUCUCUAGGGCUGCACCCCCAGCUCACCUUAGACCUGGCCCUUCCUACCUGUUGCCCCUACUGUCUUGUCCCAUCCCAGUGGUCAGGAGGGAGAGUACUGGCCAAAGGCCCAGCUCCACCUGUGACUUAGGGGAGCCGCAGGCAUCACCCAGAGGUCCCGGCCCUCGGGGGCCUGGCAGGCUCUGCUGUGGGGGAAGCAGAGUUAGAACUGGGGCUGCUUCUCCUGCCCCCCCAGCCUGGCUGGGCCUCCCCCACCUCCCUUUCUGCCUGCCCUCUUACAACUCCAGCAGGGGGCGGGCAGGGAAAAGAAAAGGAGGGACAAGUUGGAUGGGGUCCAUUUGGUGUCCAGGAACAACUUGGAGAGAGGCGGGGAGGGGACAGGCAGCAGGGCCCUGGCAGAGCCAGGGGAGGGCUGGCCUUUGGAUGGCCUUCUGAUCCCAAGCCCAUCCUCCUGGGGCAGUCUUCCCUUGAAAGGGAGGGUUUGGUGAACCCUGGUGCGGACCCCCCCCAACCUCACUGCCCCAGUGCAGGGCGUGGUAGGCAGGUUUGCAAUGGGUACAGCCUCUUUCUCCAUUCCAGUACAGCAGCUCCCAAGGCCCAGAGAGGCUGUCACUGAGACUUCCCUCUGGGAUGGGGUGGGGUGGGUUCUGGUGGCCCUGUGUUCCCCUGUAGGAGGACCUCCUGAGGCUUCACGCAGGAGCUGGUGCACACCUGGAGGAGAGUGCUGGUGAACGGCAGGUGUGUGCCUCAGUGUCCUUGCUGCCUGGGUGUCAGCCCUGCUUCACCACUGGCCCUUUGUCUCUGUCCCCUCCACUGGCCUCUUGAAGCACAGAGACCCUCCAGGUACUUUCCUUCCUCUGGGCUUCCACUCAUGCUAUUCCCUGCUCCCUUCUUCUACCUGGAGACCCCCAUUCCUCCUCCUCCUCCACUGCUGCCCUCACCUCCACCUGGGCCCUCCCAGCUCCCGGGAGAUGGCCGAACCCCACUGCCUGCCAGCUAGUCAUCCUCUUCAGCGGUCCUCCCAGAGCUGUCCUUGGCAUGGCAGCCUCCACAGCCCCAGGUGUCACCCCCGGUUUCAUGUCUGCCUCGUACUCCAGACCUGUCCCUCCCAGGCUGGCCCAGAUGGAUCCUCUGCAGUGACUAACCCGAACCAGCACUGGGCAGGGACCCAAUAAACCUUUGUGAAUGGA